This 1346-nucleotide ribosomal RNA is filed under the name uncultured bacterium. Its description in RNAcentral is "partial 16S ribosomal RNA". It matches the Rfam family "Bacterial small subunit ribosomal RNA", at positions 28 to 1381 of the family's 1533-position model. The record is from RNAcentral.
GACGAACGCUGGCGGCGUGCUUAACACAUGCAAGUCGAACGGAAAGGCCCUGCUUUUGUGGGGUGCUCGAGUGGCGAACGGGUGAGUAACACGUGAGUAACCUGCCCUUGACUUUGGGAUAACUUCAGGAAACUGGGGCUAAUACCGGAUAGGAGCUCCUGCUGCAUGGUGAGGGUUGGAAAGUUUCGGCGGUUGGGGAUGGACUCGCGGCUUAUCAGCUUGUUGGUGGGGUAGUGGCUUACCAAGGCUUUGACGGGUAGCCGGCCUGAGAGGGUGACCGGCCACAUUGGGACUGAGAUACGGCCCAGACUCCUACGGGAGGCAGCAGUGGGGAAUAUUGCACAAUGGGCGGAAGCCUGAUGCAGCAACGCCGCGUGCGGGAUGACGGCCUUCGGGUUGUAAACCGCUUUCGCCUGUGACGAAGCGUGAGUGACGGUAAUGGGUAAAGAAGCACCGGCUAACUACGUGCCAGCAGCCGCGGUGAUACGUAGGGUGCGAGCGUUGUCCGGAUUUAUUGGGCGUAAAGGGCUCGUAGGUGGUUGAUCGCGUCGGAAGUGUAAUCUUGGGGCUUAACCCUGAGCGUGCUUUCGAUACGGGUUGACUUGAGGAAGGUAGGGGAGAAUGGAAUUCCUGGUGGAGCGGUGGAAUGCGCAGAUAUCAGGAGGAACACCAGUGGCGAAGGCGGUUCUCUGGGCCUUUCCUGACGCUGAGGAGCGAAAGCGUGGGGAGCGAACAGGCUUAGAUACCCUGGUAGUCCACGCUGUAAACGGUGGGUACUAGGUGUGGGGUCCAUUCCACGGGUUCCGUGCCGUAGCUAACGCUUUAAGUACCCCGCCUGGGGAGUACGGCCGCAAGGCUAAAACUCAAAGGAAUUGACGGGGCCUCGCACAAGCGGCGGAGCAUGCGGAUUAAUUCGAUGCAACGCGUAGAACCUUACCUGGGUUUGACAUGGAUCGGGAGUGCUCAGAGAUGGGUGUGCCUCUUUUGGGGUCGGUUCACAGGUGGUGCAUGGCUGUCGUCAGCUCGUGUCGUGAGAUGUUGGGUUAAGUCCCGCAACGAGCGCAACCCUUGUUCACUGUUGCCAGCACGUUAUGGUGGGGACUCAGUGGAGACCGCCGGGGUCAACUCGGAGGAAGGUGGGGAUGACGUCAAGUCAUCAUGCCCCUUAUGUCCAGGGCUUCACGCAUGCUACAAUGGCUGGUACAGAGAGUGGCGAGCCUGUGAGGGUGAGCGAAUCUCGGAAAGCCGGUCUCAGUUCGGAUUGGGGUCUGCAACUCGACCUCAUGAAGUCGGAGUCGCUAGUAAUCGCAGAUCAGCAACGCUGCGGUGAAUACGUUCCCGGGGCU